Molecule: ribosomal RNA, 440 nt
Filed under: uncultured bacterium
Lineage: Bacteria
Description: partial 16S ribosomal RNA
Rfam family: Bacterial small subunit ribosomal RNA
Source: RNAcentral
CCUACGGGCGGCAGCAGUGGGGAAUAUUGCACAAUGGGGGAAACCCUGAUGCAGCGACGCCGCGUGAGUGAAGAAGUAUUUCGGUACGUAAAGCUCUAUCAGCAGGGAAGAAAAUGACGGUACCUGACUAAGAAGCCCCGGCUAACUACGUGCCAGCAGCCGCGGUAAUACGUAGGGGGCAAGCGUGAUCCGGAUUUAAUGGGUGUAAAGGGAGCGUAGACGGCAGCGCAAGUCUGGAGUGAAAGCCCAUGGCUUAACCAUGGAAAUGCUUUGGAAACUGUGCAGCUAGAGUGCAGGAGAGGUAAGCGGAAUUCCUAGUGUAGCGGUGAAAUGCGUAGAUAUUAGGAGGAACACCAGUGGCGAAGGCGGCUUACUGGACUGUAACUGACGUUGAGGCUCGAAAGCGUGGGGAGCAAACAGGAUUAGAUACCCGAGUAGUC